GAGUAUGAGGGUGAUCUGGCUGCGACAUCUGUCACCCCAUUGAUGGCCAGGGCUGAUGUGGCUGGCUAGGAGGGUGUUCCCUUCCUCCUCACUGCUCCAUGUGUGUUCCUCCUGAAGCUGCACACUCGGUCCAAGAGGAUGACCUUCCCCUAAUAGAGGAGGGCUGGCCUCAGGUCAAGGGUAUUAGAGCAGCUGAGCUCCCCUGUUAGAACUUCUAAAUGAGCUCUCAAAGUCCGUAUUUGUUAAAAUUACUUUCAGUUAUCUCAAUUUAUCUGUUACCACUGACAAAUAUAAAUAUUUUUAAGAACUUU
This 311-nucleotide small nuclear RNA is filed under the name Peromyscus maniculatus bairdii (prairie deer mouse). RNAcentral describes it as "7SK RNA (ENSPEMG00000003013.2)". It matches the Rfam family "7SK RNA". From Rfam's summary of the family: 7SK was discovered as an abundant small nuclear RNA in the mid-70s but a possible function has only recently been suggested. Two independent studies have found that 7SK RNA binds the CDK9/cyclin T complex (known as elongation factor P-TEFb). The record is from RNAcentral. Lineage: Eukaryota; Metazoa; Chordata; Mammalia; Rodentia; Cricetidae.